RNAcentral lists this ribosomal RNA (484 nucleotides) under uncultured bacterium. RNAcentral describes it as "partial 16S ribosomal RNA". It matches the Rfam family "Bacterial small subunit ribosomal RNA", at positions 30 to 507 of the family's 1533-position model. The record is from RNAcentral.
AUUGAACGCUGGCGGCAGGCCUAACACAUGCAAGUCGAGCGGAUGAAGGGAGCUUGCUCCUGGAUUCAGCGGCGGACGGGUGAGUAAUGCCUAGGAAUCUGCCUGGUAGUGGGGGAUAACGUCCGGAAACGGGCGCUAAUACCGCAUACGUCCUGAGGGAGAAAGUGGGGGAUAUUCGGACCUCACGCUAUCAGAUGAGCCUAGGUCGGAUUAGCUAGUUGGUGGGGUAAAGGCCUACCAAGGCGACGAUCCGUAACCGGUCUGAGAGGAUGAUCAGUCACACUGGAACUGAGACACGGUCCAGACUCCUACGGGAGGCAGCAGUGGGGAAUAUUGGACAAUGGGCGAAAGCCUGAUCCAGCCAUGCCGCGUGUGUGAAGAAGGUCUUCGGAUUGUAAAGCACUUUAAGUUGGGAGGAAGGGCAGUAAGUUAAUACCUUGCUGUUUUGACGUUACCAACAGAAUAAGCACCGGCUAACUUCGUG